CCUACGGGAGGCAGCAGUCGAGAAUCAUUCACAAUGGGGGAAACCCUGAUGGUGCGACGCCGCGUGGGGGAAUGAAGGUCUUCGGAUUGUAAACCCCUGUCAUGUGGGAGCAAAUUAAAAAGGUAGUACACCAAGAGGAAGAGACGGCUAACGCGGUGCCAGCAGCCGCGGUAAUACAGAGGUCUCAAGGGUUGUUCGGAAUCACUGGGUGUAGAGCGUGCGUAGGCUGUUUCGUACGUCGUGUGUGAAAGGCGCGGGCUCAACCCGCGGACGGCACAGGAUACUGCUGGACUAGAGUUAAGGAGGGGGAAGCGGAAUUCUCGGUGUAGCAGUGAAAUGCGUAGAUA
This 347-nucleotide ribosomal RNA is filed under the name uncultured bacterium. Its description in RNAcentral is "partial 16S ribosomal RNA". It matches the Rfam family "Bacterial small subunit ribosomal RNA", at positions 338 to 696 of the family's 1533-position model. The record is from RNAcentral.